RNAcentral lists this ribosomal RNA (399 nucleotides) under Lema sp. EMHAU-15071010. RNAcentral's name for it is "16S ribosomal RNA". The record is from RNAcentral. Lineage: Eukaryota; Metazoa; Arthropoda; Insecta; Coleoptera; Chrysomelidae.
AGUUAAAAAUUUAUUAUAAAUUUAAUUUUAAUUUUAAAAUUUAAUUUAAAUAGAUUUAAGUUUUAUUAUUUUAAUUUAAAAAAAUUAUUUUAAUUAUAGAAUAAUAGUAAAGUAAUUGAAAAAAUUGAAUUAUAUCGAAGAAAAAUUUAUUUUUUGUACCUUGUGUAUCAGGGUUAAUUAAAAUAUUAAAAGAAUUUUUAUUUCUCGAAUUUAAAAGAGUUAAUUAAUUAUAUAUUAAUUGUAUCCUAAAAAUUUUAAGUCUGUUCGACUUUUAAAAUUUUACAUGAUCUGAGUUUAAACCGGUGUGAGCCAGGUUGGUUUCUAUCUUUAAAAAAUUUAUAAUAAUUUAGUACGAAAGGAUUAAUUAUUUAAUUUAUAAUUUAAUAUUAGAAGAUGAUU